GGAAGAAUCAAUAGAGCUGUUUGGGGGCCUCUAAAUAAGACCAUUAUAAGUGCAGGAGAAGAUGCUGUUAUUCGCAUUUGGGAUUCUGAGACAGGUAAACUUUUGAAAGAAUCAGACAAGGAGACAGGCCAUAAGAAAACAAUAACUUCCCUUAUGAAAUCUUCUGAUGGUUCACAUUUUAUUACUGGUUCUUUGGAUAAGUCUGCAAAGCUGUG
Molecule: unclassified non-coding RNA, 215 nt
Filed under: Hevea brasiliensis (rubber tree)
Lineage: Eukaryota; Viridiplantae; Streptophyta; Magnoliopsida; Malpighiales; Euphorbiaceae
Source: RNAcentral